GGGAUAACUCCGGGAAACCGGAGCUAAUACCGGAUAGUUCCUUGAACCGCAUGGUUCAAGGAUGAAAGACGGUUUCGGCUGUCACUUACAGAUGGACCCGCGGCGCAUUAGCUAGUUGGUGAGGUAACGGCUCACCAAGGCGACGAUGCGUAGCCGACCUGAGAGGGUGAUCGGCCACACUGGGACUGAGACACGGCCCAGACUCCUACGGGAGGCAGCAGUAGGGAAUCUUCCGCAAUGGACGAAAGUCUGACGGAGCAACGCCGCGUGAGUGAUGAAGGUUUUCGGAUCGUAAAGCUCUGUUGUUAGGGAAGAACAAGUGCAAGAGUAACUGCUUGCACCUUGACGGUACCUAACCAGAAAGCCACGGCUAACUACGUGCCAGCAGCCGCGGUAAUACGUAGGUGGCAAGCGUUGUCCGGAAUUAUUGGGCGUAAAGGGCUCGCAGGCGGUUUCUUAAGUCUGAUGUGAAAGCCCCCGGCUCAACCGGGGAGGGUCAUUGGAAACUGGGAAACUUGAGUGCAGAAGAGGAGAGUGGAAUUCCACGUGUAGCGGUGAAAUGCGUAGAGAUGUGGAGGAACACCAGUGGCGAAGGCGACUCUCUGGUCUGUAACUGACGCUGAGGAGCGAAAGCGUGGGGAGCGAACAGGAUUAGAUACCCUGGUAGUCCACGCCGUAAA
Molecule: ribosomal RNA, 680 nt
Filed under: Bacillus pumilus
Lineage: Bacteria; Bacillati; Bacillota; Bacilli; Caryophanales; Bacillaceae
Description: bacterial SSU rRNA
Rfam family: Bacterial small subunit ribosomal RNA
Source: RNAcentral